This 654-nucleotide ribosomal RNA is filed under the name uncultured archaeon. RNAcentral's name for it is "bacterial SSU rRNA". It matches the Rfam family "Archaeal small subunit ribosomal RNA", at positions 508 to 1160 of the family's 1478-position model. The record is from RNAcentral.
GCCUAAAGCGUCCGUAGCCGGCUUUGUAAGUUUUCGGUUAAAUCUAUAUGCUCAACAUAUAGGCUGCCGGGAAUACUGCAAAGCUAGGGAGUGGGAGAGGUAGACGGUACUCGGUAGGAAGGGGUAAAAUCCUUUGAUCUAUCGAUGACCACCAGUGGCGAAGGCGGUCUACCAGAACACGUCCGACGGUGAGGGAUGAAAGCUGGGGGAGCAAACCGGAUUAGAUACCCGGGUAGUCCCAGCUGUAAACUAUGCAAACUCAGUGAUGCAUUGGCUUGUGGCCAAUGCAGUGCCGCAGAGAAGUCGUUAAGUUUGCCGCCUGGGAAGUACGUACGCAAGUAUGAAACUUAAAGGAAUUGGCGGGGGAGCACCACAAGGGGUGAAGCCUGCGGUUCAAUUGGAGUCAACGCCAGAAAUCUUACCCGGAGAGACAGCAGAAUGAAGGUCAAGCUGAAGACUUUACCAGACAAGCUGAGAAGUGGUGCAUGGCCGUCGCCAGCUCGUGCCGUGAGAUGUCCUGUUAAGUCAGGUAACGAGCGAGAUCCCUGCCUCUAGUUGCCACCAUUACUCUCAGGAGUAGUGGGGCGAAUUAGCGGGACUGCCGCAGUUAAUGCGGAGGAAGGAGGGGGCCACGGCAGGUCAGUAUGCCCCGAA